RNAcentral lists this long non-coding RNA (403 nucleotides) under Coffea arabica (coffee). Its description in RNAcentral is "long non-coding RNA (CARA_LNC007986)". The record is from RNAcentral. Lineage: Eukaryota; Viridiplantae; Streptophyta; Magnoliopsida; Gentianales; Rubiaceae.
UCUGAAUUCUUGAAGAUUUGACCUGCAUAUAUUCACCAACUCCCAGGAUUCGAAUGGCAGCAACUAUGGCAACAAUGGCCACCCUUAAUGCCAACUGCUUGAGCACCAACACCCACAGAGUUAUCAACACUUUGAAACCAAAGCCGGUAUCCCUUCUGUCCAUGCAAAACCUCCCAAAAGGCCUCCUCACAACAUCAAGAAAAGCACAAGACUCAAUCUUGUCCAAUCCGCUAACCGGAACAGCCCUUGCUGGCGCAAUUUUCUCAACCUUGAGCUCAUGUGAUGCUGCCUUUGCAGCUCAACAAAUCGCCGAAAUUGCAGAAGGCGAUAACCGUGGUCUAGCACUUCUCCUCCCAAUCCUGCCAGCCAUAGCUUGGGUGCUCUACAACAUCCUCCAACCAGC